Molecule: ribosomal RNA, 253 nt
Filed under: uncultured bacterium
Lineage: Bacteria
Description: partial 16S ribosomal RNA
Rfam family: Bacterial small subunit ribosomal RNA
Source: RNAcentral
UACGAAGGGUGCAAGCGUUACUCGGAAUUACUGGGCGUAAAGCGUGCGUAGGUGGUUUUUUAAGUCCGUUGUGAAAGCCCUGGGCUCAACCUGGGAAUGGCAGUGGAUACUGGAAAGCUAGAGUGCGGUAGAGGUUAGUGGAAUUCCCGGUGUAGCAGUGAAAUGCGUAGAGAUCGGGAGGAACACCAGUGGCGAAGGCGGCUACCUGGACCAGCACUGACACUGAUGCACGAAAGCGUGGGGAGCAAACAGG